This 2335-nucleotide ribosomal RNA is filed under the name Francisella tularensis. RNAcentral describes it as "partial 23S ribosomal RNA". It matches the Rfam family "Bacterial large subunit ribosomal RNA", at positions 596 to 2925 of the family's 2925-position model. Lineage: Bacteria; Pseudomonadati; Pseudomonadota; Gammaproteobacteria; Thiotrichales; Francisellaceae. The record is from RNAcentral.
ACUGCGUACCUUUUGUAUAAUGGGUCAGCGAGUUAUUUUUAGUGGCGAGGAUAACUGAAUAAGGGAUCCGUAGCGAAAGCGAGUUUUAAUAGGGCGACUAGUCGCUAGGAGUAGACCCGAAACCGGCGCGAUCUAUCCAUGGCCAGGUUGAAGAUUAGGUAGUACUAAUUGGAGGACCGAACCCAAUACUGUUGCAAAAGUAUGGGAUGAGCUGUGGAUCGGAGUGAAAGGCUAAUCAAGCACGGAGAUAGCUGGUUCUCCCCGAAAACUAUUUAGGUAGUGCCUCGUGUAUAACUCAUUGGGGUAAAGCACUGUUUCGACAAUGGGGGUUUUACGACCUUACUGACUCGAUGCAAACUCAGAAUACGAUGAAGUUCGAUCACGGGAGACACACUGCGGGUGCUAAGGUCCGCAGUGGAAAGGGAAACAGCCCAGACCGCCAACUAAGGUCCCAAAGUCAUAGCUAAGUGGGAAACGAAGUGGGAAGGCCCAGACAGCCAGGAGGUUGGCUUAGAAGCAGCCACCCUUUAAAGAAAGCGUAAUAGCUCACUGGUCGAGUCGGCCUGCACGUAAGAUUUAACGGGGCUAAGCUAUGCACUGAAGUUGCGGAAUAUAUUUAGUAUAUUGGUAGGGGAGCGUUCUGUAAGCCGAUGAAGGUGAAUUGAGAAGUUUGCUGGAGGUAUCAGAAGUGCGAAUGCUGACAUGAGUAACGUAAAAUAAGUGAGAUUCUUAUUGGCCGAAAACCCAAGGGUUCCUACGCAAUGUUAAUCAACGUAGGGUAAGCCGGCCCCUAAGGCGUAGCUGAAGAGUGAAGUCGAUGGGAAACAGGUUAAUAUUCCUGUGCUGCUUAUAUGAACGAAGGAGGGACGGAGAAGGUUAGGUAGGCCUGGCGAAUGGUUGUCCAGGUGAAAGUAUGUAGGUAGGAAUGCUAGGCAAAUCCGGUGUUCUGUUGAUCUGAGAUACGAGACGAAGUUAAACUUGUUUGACGAAGCUAUUGAUACCAUGCUUCCAGGAAAAGCUUCUAAGUAUAUUGUAUAAGUGACCGUACUGUAAACCGACACUGGUGGGUAGGUAGAGAAUACUAAGGCUAUGAGAUAACUCUGGUGAAGGAACUAGGCAAAAUGACACCGUAACUUUGGAAGAAGGUGUGCCCUUGAUGGUGAUGAGACUUGCUCUUUGAGCUGUUGGGGGUUGCAGAUACCAGGUGGCUGCGACUGUUUAUCAAAAACACAGCACUCUGCGAAAUCGUAAGAUGAAGUAUAGGGUGUGACGCCUGCCCGGUGCUGGAAGGUUAAUUGAAGGGGUUAGCGCAAGCGAAGCUCUGGAUCGAAGCCCCAGUAAACGGCGGCCGUAACUAUAACGGUCCUAAGGUAGCGAAAUUCCUUGUCGGGUAAGUUCCGACCUGCACGAAUGGCGUAACGAUGGCCACACUGUCUCCACCAGAGACUCAGUGAAAUUGAAAUCGCUGUGAAGAUGCAGUGUACCCGCGGUUAGACGGAAAGACCCCGUGAACCUUUACUAUAGCUUUGCACUGGACUUUGAAUAUUUAUGUGUAGGAUAGGUGGGAGACCAUGAAGCAGCUACGCCAGUAGUUGUGGAGUCGUCCUUGAAAUACCACCCUUGAAUAUUUGAAGUUCUAACUCAGGAGAGAUUCGAGGACAGUGUAUGGUGGGUAGUUUGACUGGGGCGGUCUCCUCCUAAAGAGUAACGGAGGAGUACGAAGGUGCACUCGGUACGGUCGGAAAUCGUGCCAAGAGUAUAAAGGCAAAAGUGCGCUUGACUGCGAGAGUGACGGCUCGAGCAGGUACGAAAGUAGGUCUUAGUGAUCCGGUGGUCCCGAAUGGAAGGGUCAUCGCUCAACGGAUAAAAGGUACUCCGGGGAUAACAGGCUAAUUCCUCCCAAGAGUUCAUAUCGACGGAGGAGUUUGGCACCUCGAUGUCGGCUCAUCACAUCCUGGGGCUGAAGUAGGUCCCAAGGGUAUGGCUGUUCGCCAUUUAAAGUGGUACGCGAGCUGGGUUCAGAACGUCGUGAGACAGUUCGGUCCCUAUCUGCCGUGGGCGUUAGAGAUUUGAGAAGAGUUGCUCCUAGUACGAGAGGACCGGAGUGAACGAACCACUGGCGUUCCGGUUGUUUCGCCAGAAGCAUUGCCGGGUAGCUACGUUUGGACGGGAUAAACGCUGAAAGCAUCUAAGCGUGAAGCCUCCUUCAAGAUUAGAUCUCUCUGAUGAAAAUCAGUAAGGAACGUUGGAGACUACGACGUUGAUAGGCUGGGUGUGGAAGUACAGCAAUGUAUGAAGCUUACCAGUACUAAUGAUCCGAGAGACUUAAGUCUAU